UCAACCGAGAUUCCCCCAGUAGCGGCGAGCGAACGGGGAGCAGCCCAGAGCCUGAAUCAGUAUGUGUGUUAGUGGAAGCGUCUGGAAAGGCGCGCGAUACAGGGUGACAGCCCCGUACACAAAAAUGCACAUAUUGUGAGCUCGAUGAGUAGGGCGGGACACGUGGUAUCCUGUCUGAAUAUGGGGGGACCAUCCUCCAAGGCUAAAUACUCCUGACUGACCGAUAGUGAACCAGUACCGUGAGGGAAAGGCGAAAAGAACCCCGGCGAGGGGAGUGAAAAAGAACCUGAAACCGUGUACGUACAAGCAGUGGGAGCACGCUUAGGCGUGUGACUGCGUACCUUUUGUAUAAUGGGUCAGCGACUUAUAUUCUGUAGCAAGGUUAACCGAAUAGGGGAGCCGAAGGGAAACCGAGUCUUAACUGGGCGUUAAGUUGCAGGGUAUAGACCCGAAACCCGGUGAUCUAGCCAUGGGCAGGUUGAAGGUUGGGUAACACUAACUGGAGGACCGAACCGACUAAUGUUGAAAAAUUAGCGGAUGACUUGUGGCUGGGGGUGAAAGGCCAAUCAAACCGGGAGAUAGCUGGUUCUCCCCGAAAGCUAUUUAGGUAGCGCCUCGUGAAUUCAUCUCCGGGGGUAGAGCACUGUUUCGGCAAGGGGGUCAUCCCGACUUACCAACCCGAUGCAAACUGCGAAUACCGGAGAAUGUUAUCACGGGAGACACACGGCGGGUGCUAACGUCCGUCGUGAAGAGGGAAACAACCCAGACCGCCAGCUAAGGUCCCAAAGUCAUGGUUAAGUGGGAAACGAUGUGGGAAGGCCCAGACAGCCAGGAUGUUGGCUUAGAAGCAGCCAUCAUUUAAAGAAAGCGUAAUAGCUCACUGGUCGAGUCGGCCUGCGCGGAAGAUGUAACGGGGCUAAACCAUGCACCGAAGCUGCGGCAGCGACGCUGAUGCGUUGUUGGGUAGGGGAGCGUUCUGUAAGCCUGCGAAGGUGUGCUGUGAGGCAUGCUGGAGGUAUCAGAAGUGCGAAUGCUGACAUAAGUAACGAUAAAGCGGGUGAAAAGCCCGCUCGCCGGAAGACCAAGG
This 1087-nucleotide ribosomal RNA is filed under the name Escherichia coli. RNAcentral's name for it is "partial 23S ribosomal RNA". It matches the Rfam family "Bacterial large subunit ribosomal RNA", at positions 225 to 1350 of the family's 2925-position model. The record is from RNAcentral. Lineage: Bacteria; Pseudomonadati; Pseudomonadota; Gammaproteobacteria; Enterobacterales; Enterobacteriaceae.